Molecule: ribosomal RNA, 598 nt
Filed under: uncultured Alphaproteobacteria bacterium
Lineage: Bacteria; Pseudomonadati; Pseudomonadota; Alphaproteobacteria
Description: bacterial SSU rRNA
Rfam family: Bacterial small subunit ribosomal RNA
Source: RNAcentral
GUCGAACGCGCCCUUCGGGGCGAGUGGCGGACGGGUGAGUAACACGUGGGAACGUGCCCUUUGGUUCGGAAUAACUCAGGGAAACUUGAGCUAAUACCGGAUGAGCCCUACGGGGGAAAGAUUUAUCGCCAAAGGAGCGGCCCGCGUCUGAUUAGCUAGUUGGUGAGGUAAAGGCUCACCAAGGCUACGAUCAGUAGCUGGUCUGAGAGGAUGAUCAGCCACACUGGGACUGAGACACGGCCCAGACUCCUACGGGAGGCAGCAGUGGGGAAUCUUGCGCAAUGGGCGAAAGCCUGACGCAGCCAUGCCGCGUGGAUGAUGGAGGUCUUAGGAUUGUAAAAUCCUUUCACCGGGGACGAUAAUGACGGUACCCGGAGAAGGAGCCCCGGCUAACUUCGUGCCAGCAGCCGCGGUAAUACGAAGGGGGCUAGCGUUGCUCGGAAUUGCUGGGCGUAAAGGGCGCGUAGGCGGACAGUUUAGUCGGGGGUGAAAGCCCGGGGCUCAACCUCGGAAUUGCCUUCGAUACUGGCUGUCUUGAGUACGGGAGAGGUGUGUGGAACUCCGAGUGUAGAGGUGAAAUUCGUAGAUAUUCGGAAGA